Molecule: non-coding RNA, 120 nt
Organism: Tinamus guttatus (white-throated tinamou)
Lineage: Eukaryota; Metazoa; Chordata; Aves; Tinamiformes; Tinamidae
Source: RefSeq, a predicted model, not a curated record
AGGGUCAGAAUUCAGCUGAUAACAAAGAAGAGAAAUCAGCUGCAAAAAAGAAGCGAGGGAGAGAAGAUGGAACAUAUAACAUCUCAGAAAUUAUGUCCAAAGAGGAAAUCUUAUCAGUGG